CGUAGGUCGUGAGAAAACUGCCUAUAUAAACGUUAAAAUCAUAAUUUGGAGCACAAUUUCUUAACGUAGAAAACUGAUAAGACCUUUACAUUAAAAAUGAACUGCGGACUCGCGUUGCUUGUUGUUUAUUGCACUGUUGCGAUGGUUCUAUCCACAUCAACACCCAGCACCACAACGGCUAAGUCUGCCAUCCAUCCGCCAUGUAAGACCGACGCGGACUGCAGUGUCUUAGUGUGCUCCAAGCAAGGUGAGGUCCCAGAAUGCCACGCUUCUGUAACUUCCCCCACGGGCCUAGAUUGUCAUUGCCACGUCCCUGAAAGAGAGUGUUUCGAAGAUCUAGACUGCGUUCUGGAGUGCGGCCCUGAAGCAACGUGCGACAAGAAUGCCUGUCACGGCAACUGUACUCACUUUUAAAAGCUGGCGAUCAGCAUGCACUGUAUUAAUUUAUAGUAUUGCUUUGAGACAUAAUGGUUUAUAAAAUAAUUAGUUUGUUUAGAAAUUAUUAAAUAAAUGAGGUUUCUACAAUGCAUGUUUAUGUAAAUGUAUUUUCAUUUUAGUUUCUAUAAAAUCAAAUAAAGCUACAAUGGAAAAUA
Molecule: long non-coding RNA, 593 nt
Organism: Dreissena polymorpha
Lineage: Eukaryota; Metazoa; Mollusca; Bivalvia; Myida; Dreissenidae
Exons: 2
Source: RefSeq, a predicted model, not a curated record